AGGAUACACACAUAAAUAAAAGAACCAAAGGCGCCAUGUGUUUAACGCUUCUUCAUUCAAAUUGUUACAAUCUGGAAAUGUGACAUUUAAAAAGGUUAAAAAGGGUUGAAAGUUCAAAACAGGAUGAGCAGGGCAAGAUCAGGAGCAAAUUUCCAUACUGGAUAUACGGAGGAACAAAGAAGAAGAAAAA
Molecule: long non-coding RNA, 190 nt
Organism: Rhinichthys klamathensis goyatoka
Lineage: Eukaryota; Metazoa; Chordata; Actinopteri; Cypriniformes; Leuciscidae
Exons: 2
Source: RefSeq, a predicted model, not a curated record